This 606-nucleotide long non-coding RNA is filed under the name Setaria italica (foxtail millet). Its description in RNAcentral is "long non-coding RNA (SITA_LNC001608)". Lineage: Eukaryota; Viridiplantae; Streptophyta; Magnoliopsida; Poales; Poaceae. The record is from RNAcentral.
UACUUUUGGACACUGAAUUGGAUCGAGAUGGUGAACCGGAAGCCACAGGAGCAUUUGAAGAUCGAGAUAGAUCCCCUCCUCCAGUAGAAAGGUUGGUUAAAGAAGGCCCCAUUUUUGAUGAACUCAUGCUUAAAGAACUCUGGGAUUGGUGACCAGGCGUGGAGAGGGCCUGCAUAUGAACUUUUGCUUGUUGCUGGUGGAGACCGCUGUUCUUCAUCACAAUCAAAUUAGAGGGUGGAGCAGCAGGUGGAGUCGUAGCAGCAGAUGAAGGUGUCCCUCUCCCUGAAGAUGCCUUCAAUUGAGGAGAUUGAACUCCCCCUUGGGUAGCACUUGCAGGGUACAUCAUAUUCUGAAAGCUCGCCAUGUUCAGACGGUCUGGGUACCCACCUGCAUUAUUUGGUGUACUUGGUGCAGCAGAUCUAGGCCGAUUCAGAUGGUGUUGCUGCUGAAUCAUCUGCUGAUGCUUCUGGUGCAUCUGAAGGAAAUGCUGGUGCUGCUGGUGCUGCUGCUGUUGCUGCUGAGAAAUGGUGGACGAAGCUGCAGCUGGUGCAGAUGCAGCGGUGGAAGAACUUGUGGAUUUACUCCCCAUACCAAAGGUGUUUGGAG